GCGAAUGGAAUUUCUUUUCACUCUAUUGGGUUUUGGACCUGAGCCCUAGGACCAUGCCUCAGGACUUCCUGGCCUGAUGACUCCUUGCUGUAUCCAGUCCACCUGGCCGUGCUGCUGCUCCAGUUUCAACUGUUCUCCCUGCGGCUAUGGAACCCUGACCUGUUUACCGGACGUGCUACCUGUCCCAGACCUGCUACCUGUCCCAGACCUGCUGUUUUCAACUCUCUGAGAUACUCUGAAUGAUCGGCUAUGAAAAGCCAACUGACAUUUACUCCUGAGGUGCUGACCUGUUUGCUGCACCCUCGACAACCAAUGUGAUUAUUAUUAUUUAACCCUGCUGGUCAUCUAUGAACAUUUGAACAUCUUGGCCAUGUUCUGUUAUAAUCUCCACCUGGCACUGCCAGAAGAGGACUGGCCACCCCUCAUAGCCUGGUUCCUCUCUAGGUUUCUUCCUAGGUUUUGGCCUUUCUAGGGAGUUUUUCCUAGCCACCGUGCUUCUACACCUGCAUUCCUUGCUUUUUAGGGUUUUAGGCUAGGUUUCCGUACAGCACUUUGUGACAUCAGCUGAUGUAAGAAGGGCUUCAUAAAUACAUUUGAUUGACAAAUUUGAUUGAUAUGCUUCCCACCACUGUGACCUGUAUGCUCUGUUUGGCUGAUCCUCGCUACAUAUUCGUCGCCAAACCCACUGGCUCCAGGUCAUAUAUAAGUCUUUGCUAGGUAAAGCUCCACCUUAUCUCAGCUCACUGGUCACCAUAGCAACACCCACCCAUAGCACGCACUCCAGCAGGUAUAUUUCACUGGUCAUCCCCAAAGCCAACACCACAUUUGGCCGCCUUUCCUCCCAGUUCUCUGCUGCCAUUGACUGGAACGAAAUGCAAAAAUCACUGAAGUUGGAGUCUUGUAUCUCCCUCACUAACUGUAAGCAUCAGCUGUCAGAGCAGCUUACCGAUCGCUGCAGCUGUACAUAGCCCAUCUGUAAAUAGCCCAUCCAACCAACUACCUACCUCAUCCCAUAUUUGUUUUAGUUUUUUCUGCUCUUUUGCACACCAGUAUUUCUACUUGCACAUCCUCAUCUGCACUUAUAUCACACUUAUAUCACACAAAAUUGUAAUAACUUUGCCACUAUGGCUUAUUUAUUGCCUUACCUCCUUACUUCAUUUGCACACACAGUAUACAGAUUUUUCUAUUGUGUUAUUGACUGUACAUUUUAUUAUCACAUGUGUAACUCUGUGUUGUUGUUUUUGUCGCACUGCUUUGCUUUAUCUUAGUCAGGUCGCAGUUGUAAAUGAGAAUUAGGUUCUCAACUGGCCUACCUGGUUAAAUAAAGGUGAAAAAAAAACGAAAAAAAAAAAAAACGUUGACCUGUUUAAUGGUUUACUCACAUCGGCUACAGAGAGAGUGAUAACACAGUCGUCUGGAACAGCGGAUGCUCUCAUGCAUGUUUCAGUGUUACUUGCCUCCAAGCGAGGACAGAAGUAAUUUAGUUCGCCAUUACAGUUACUAGUUACCUGUCCAAAAUUGGAAUCAGUAAUAUCACUUUUGGAUUACCAGUUACUCAGUAACGUAAUCAGAUUACUUUCCCAUUAAGUGACAUUAGAAUAAAUCAAAAGCAUUUUGUGU
Oncorhynchus tshawytscha (Chinook salmon) is the source of this 1620-nucleotide long non-coding RNA. The record is from Ensembl. Lineage: Eukaryota; Metazoa; Chordata; Actinopteri; Salmoniformes; Salmonidae.